GUCGUAGCUCAGUCGGUAGAGCAACUGUCUCGUAAUCAGUAGGUCGGGAGUUCGAUUCUCUUCGACGG
This 68-nucleotide transfer RNA is filed under the name bovine gut metagenome. It matches the Rfam family "tRNA". Rfam says of the family: Transfer RNA (tRNA) molecules are approximately 80 nucleotides in length. The record is from RNAcentral.